Molecule: long non-coding RNA, 411 nt
Filed under: Rattus norvegicus (Norway rat)
Lineage: Eukaryota; Metazoa; Chordata; Mammalia; Rodentia; Muridae
Description: long non-coding RNA NONRATT019121
Source: RNAcentral
ACACACACACACACACACACACACACACACACACACACACACACACACACAGAACUCUUGUGCACACCCCAGCGCCUGUUCCUGGCUGCCACCACCAGCCAGCGGACCUGGAACUCCAGUUGCCUACAACUCUAGUCACUGACUUGAUUCUCUUUUGUAUCUUUCUUUCUUUCUUUUUUUUUUUUUUCACUCACCAGACCCCAGGCCCCCAAGGAGGCCUAGAGACAGAGGUACUCACUGUCUGGGGGAGGGGUAGGACAAAGGGCGGGAAGGGGUGGAAACCUUGUUUUCUAGAGAACUAUUUUGUUUGUAUCCACUGUCCCUGUGAGGAGGGACUCGGGUGGGAGCUGGUCACCAAGGGUGGCUGAUGGUGUACAAGCCCACAGUAAAGCAACUUCACAGCUGCCUCUG